GAUGAACGCUGACAGAAUGCUUAACACAUGCGAGUCAACUUGAACUUCGGUUUGGGUGGCGGACGGGUGAGUAACGCGUAAAGAACUUGCCUCACAGUUAGGGACAACAUUUGGAAACGAAUGCUAAUACCUGAUAUUAUGAUUUUAGGGCAUCCUAGAAUUAUGAAAGCUAUAUGCGCUGUGAGAGAGCUUUGCGUCCCAUUAGCUAGUUGGAGAGGUAACGGCUCACCAAGGCGAUGAUGGGUAGCCGGCCUGAGAGGGUGAACGGCCACAAGGGGACUGAGACACGGCCCUUACUCCUACGGGAGGCAGCAGUGGGGAAUAUUGGACAAUGGACCAAGAGUCUGAUCCAGCAAUUCUGUGUGCACGAUGAAGUUUUUCGGAAUGUAAAGUGAUUUCAGUUGGGAAGAAAAAAAUGACGGUACCAACAGAAGAAGUGACGGCUAAAUACGUG
This 454-nucleotide ribosomal RNA is filed under the name uncultured bacterium. Its description in RNAcentral is "partial 16S ribosomal RNA". It matches the Rfam family "Bacterial small subunit ribosomal RNA", at positions 28 to 507 of the family's 1533-position model. The record is from RNAcentral.